AAUAGAUACCCGGGUAGUCCACGCCGUAAACGAUGAGUGCUAAGUGUUGGAGGGUUUCCGCCCUUCAGUGCUGCAGCUAACGCAUUAAGCACUCCGCCUGGGGAGUACGGUCGCAAGACUGGAACUCAAAGGAAUUGACGGGGGCCCGCACAAGCGGUGGAGCAUGUGGUUUAAUUCGAAGCAACGCGAAGAACCUUACCAGGUCUUGACAUCUCCUGACCGCCCUGGAGACAGGGUCUUCCCUCCGGGGACAGGAUGACAGGUGGUGCAUGGUUGUCGUCAGCUCGUGUCGUGAGAUGUUGGGUUAAGUCCCGCAACGAGCGCAACCCUUGGUUCUAGUUGCCAGCAUUGAGUUGGGCACUCUAGAGCGACUGCCGGCGACAAGUCGGAGGAAGGUGGGGAUGACGUCAAAUCAUCAUGCCCCUUAUGACCUGGGCUACGACACGUGCUACAAUGGAUGGUACAAAGGGCAGCGAAGCGGCGACGCAUAAGCGAAUCCCAGAAAACCAUUCUCAGUUCGGAUU
Molecule: ribosomal RNA, 524 nt
Filed under: uncultured bacterium
Lineage: Bacteria
Description: bacterial SSU rRNA
Rfam family: Bacterial small subunit ribosomal RNA
Source: RNAcentral